UACCCAGAGUAAAAAUGCCAGGACCGAGGUAUUCAUUUUCAAAUCAAAAUGUUAAGCAGAGUGCGGUAGAUACGUCGAUAAUUUGCGAAUUCAACCCGUGGAUCUCCCCAUCAGCACGGGUUCGCCGUUCCUGAUCUAUAGCUGACUUCGCGCUUCAUUUGUCAUAUUUUUAAGUUAUCUUUGUUCUAUAUUUGUUUUUUCUCUCCAAUUUGCUUGUUUUUUUCUGCCUUUCUUUCUUUCACUCUGUGGGAAAUGCAUCCCAUUCCUGCUCAUAUUGCCAACUUACCAACUGAAUAAUGUCUACAAAACAUAUGUUCAAACUGUUGGCUUACAUUCAUGUCUCUGUUUUUACAUGUUUUAUUAAUUUUUCCCCAUCAAAAUCUGAAAUUUUUUCUGUCAAAACAAAAGCAUUGUUUCUUUGGUCUUGAAUACAUACAUAUUGCUCCGAGAGUACAGUACAGAGCGAAAAUUGAAAUUUGUAAAUCGUAUUUACGCAUUGGUUUUGAAAAUCUGUGCUCUGUUCCAAUUAAUUUUCCGAUUAUCCCCAUUUCUUUUUUUAACACAUUAAAUCUUUAAAGUUAACCAUUUCUUGGGAGAUCCAAGUUUAGUAAUUUUCGGUGAUUGUAAAGAACUGCACAUAAAUUUGUAAAUAUUGUUAUCUUAGAGUUAAGUCAAUGUUGCCAAACGAAGAAUCUCAAAUUAUUUUUUUACCUUUGAAGUAAGAUAAUUUCUUGUGUGUAGAGCAUUUUUUAGGAGUCUAGGUUAAAGUUCAAAGUCUUUUGAGUGAUCGGUAGUCGCUAAAAAUUGUGAAUUGAGAUUGUAUGUCCCUUAAUUUUCUGUUUGUUCCUUCUAUUCUGAGCGUUCGAAGGAAAGGACACGCAAAAGUAUACGAUAUGUAACAUACUACAUUCAAGAGUUCGUGCUUGUUCAUUUUUAUAGCACUUGAGAUCGGUACAUAAACCAAGUAACCAAAGUACCUAGUAACCAAAUUACCAAGUAUUACAAAUACGUGAUCUGCUCGUGCUAUUUUCAAAAAUUCUUAAACGGAAGAUGGUUAUAAUAUUGCAACUGAGAGAAAAUAUUUGAAUGGUUCGUUCUAGGCCAUGAGAAUAAGUAAAAAUGUUUUUAAACCAUGCACAAUAAGCCAUUAAACAUGCUUGGUCCCAAAUUUAUUUUAGAAUAAAUCUCGACUCUUCGAAUCUGCCAAUAAAUAGUUUUAAUAAACAUUUGCAACACUCGAGUCAUUUCUAAGUUGUCUGUUGAGUUAUUUUGUAAACAUAUAAUUUAACGAUAUGUCAAAAUUUGCGAAAAGAACCUUUUCCUCUAUUCUGAGAAAAAAAUCAGGGGAAAGUGGAGCAAAUACUUUUUGCAGCUGGAAAAAAGUCUCCAAAACCACUAUUUUUAUAACUUCAUGCGGCGAGACAACCUGCCAGAUGUGUAACAGAAUAUUUUUAAGGAUGCUUUCAGUGUGACUCAAUAGACUCAUUACAUUGCAGCCCAAUCAGCAGUCGCGAUGAUCAUAUUUUCAUUUUAUAGGUGCUCCUUUUAAGUACGUUUUUAGAGAGUCUUCUCUGAAAACUGAACAUUUUUACUUGUACGUAAACUUUUGACUAAAUUGCGAGCGCGUCUACGUACCGAAACUCUAUUUUUGAAAGAUUUAUCGAUAUAUUUUAAAAGAUAUUUGUCCAGCCUCCCACCGAGAUUCUGUCUGAAUACUGCGGUAUUGUCGCCCUCCUGACUUAAAGACGUAAGUACACUUCGGGACGAGCCCUUUCGUACUUAUAUCUCAAUGCUUUCCUGGGCUCUUAUCGAAGUGUACUUACGUCCUUUUGUCACCUAAGCGACGAUUUGAAUACCUAUUUACUUACUGCGAGGCUCGACUGCGACCUCAUACCUGCCUUUGGCUUAUCUCCAUUUUAAGAACUUUAUUAAUUUGAGUCCACUUAUUUGAUUCUUCAAAAUUUCAUUCCUCCUAGCCAUCUCGCUAAUUCCCUAAGUAAUUUUUUCCCCCAUUAAAGUUGGAAGAGAUUUUCUCCAUUGCUUUGUCAAUUAAAUUUACUGUCGUGUCAGAUAUCUCCCUAGAACUAUUUUAGAUGAAUGUCUCGUUCUAUGUCCUUCCCCAGAUUGAUUGUUUAUCAUUAUUAUUAUUAUUAUUUUUUUGGCAAUUACCGACCAUUUAAAUUGAGGCUAUAAUUAAUUAAGUAUCUCGCAUUUGCUCUCAAAGUUUUUGAUUAUUUUCUUAUUGUUCGCCCCAUACUUCUUGGUUAUUUCGUCUCUCUUCCAUGAAUUUUUAUUAUUGACUUUUUCGUUACUAUUUUAAGUGUCACUUAAAUUUCUCUCUCAUUCAUUUUUUUUUAUUUUUUACUUUUUGAUACUUUUGAAUGUUUACAAUCUUUCAUUAUUAUUGGUGAUUUACUUCGGGCCGGAUUAGCUUGUGCGUAUCAUUUUUUGAUAUCAGUUGAUCUGCGUUCGAUUUUUUUUUAUUUUUUCCCUCAUCAUUUCCUUUCUCUCAAACAACAACAGAGAGCGACUUUUAGGAUCUUUUUUAGUUUUUGAUUGUUAUGUAUUACAUUCUCGUAACUCCAACCUCAGUGCUUAAGGGUUUGUGCAAAAGUUACAAAGUUUUUAAUAUCGUUGUCAGUUUUCAAAUUUCUGUGUCAAAGUCACCCUCUGUUUUUCUUAAUUUUAUCAAUUUGUGAGAAAACGUUAUUCAAUAAAUUACCAAAUGACAGUUCCA
Bemisia tabaci is the source of this 2737-nucleotide non-coding RNA. Lineage: Eukaryota; Metazoa; Arthropoda; Insecta; Hemiptera; Aleyrodidae. The record is from RefSeq and is a predicted model, not a curated record.